GUAUAGUACCGUGAGGGAAAGGUGAAAAGAACCCCGGGAGGGGAGUGAAAUAGAACCUGAAACCCUGCACUUACAAGCUGUGGAAGCACAUUUCUUGUGUGACCGCGUACUUUUUGUAGAACGGGCCAACGAGUUACGUUAAGUAGCAAGGUUAAGCACUUAAGGUGCGGAGCCGUAGCGAAAGCGAGUUUUAACUGAGCGUUCAGUUACUUGACGUAGACCCGAAACCGGGCGACCUACCCAUGAGCAGGAUGAAGCGAAAGUAAAAUUUCGUGGAGGUCCGAACCCACGAGCGUUGAAAAGCUCGGGGAUGACUUGUGGGUAGCGGUGAAAUUCCAAUCGAGCCCGGAGAUAGCUGGUUCUCCCCGAAAUAGCUUUAGGGCUAGCCUCAAGGUGAGAGAUACGGAGGUAGAGCACUGAAUGUCCUAGGGGGUAUUGCACCUACCGAAGACUAUCAAACUCCGAAUGCCGUCAUCUUAUACUUGGGAGUCAGACUGUGGGUGAUAAGAUUCAUAGUCGAAAGGGCAACAGCCCAGAUCGUCAGCUAAGGUCCCUAAAUGUAAGUUAAGUGGUAAAGGAUGUGGGAUUGCACAGACAACCAGGAUGUUGGCUUAGAAGCAGCCACUCAUUCAAAGAGUGCGUAAUAGCUCACUGGUCGAGUGAUCCUGCGCCGAAGAUUUCCGGGGCUAAAACUUACUACCGAAGCUACGGCAUCAGUAAUGAUGGGUAGGGGAGCUUCCCAUACGGGUUGAAGCAUGACGGUAAGGACAUGUGGACAGUAUGGGAGUGAGAAUGUUGGCAUGAGUAGCGAGAUGUGGGGGUGAAUCCCACAGGCCGUAAACCCAAGGUUUCCAGGGGAAGGUUCGUCCGCCCUGGGUUAGGCGGGACCUAAGCUGAGGCCGAAAGGCGUAGGUGAUGGACAACAGGUUGAUAUUCCUGUACUACCGAUAACCGUUUGAGAGAAGGGAUGACACAGUAGGAUAAGCUAAGCACACUGUUGGUUAUGUGUGCCCAAGCAUUGAGGCAGUCAAAGUAGGCAAAUCCGCUUUGAUAAUGCUGGGAUGUGAUGGGGAGCGAAAUUUAGUAGCGAAGUAGCUGAUUUCACACUGUCAAGAAA
RNAcentral lists this ribosomal RNA (1117 nucleotides) under Escherichia coli. RNAcentral describes it as "partial 23S ribosomal RNA". It matches the Rfam family "Bacterial large subunit ribosomal RNA", at positions 492 to 1615 of the family's 2925-position model. The record is from RNAcentral. Lineage: Bacteria; Pseudomonadati; Pseudomonadota; Gammaproteobacteria; Enterobacterales; Enterobacteriaceae.